RNAcentral lists this ribosomal RNA (417 nucleotides) under uncultured bacterium. Its description in RNAcentral is "bacterial SSU rRNA". It matches the Rfam family "Bacterial small subunit ribosomal RNA", at positions 361 to 775 of the family's 1533-position model. The record is from RNAcentral.
AUAUUGGUCAAUGGGCGCUAGCCUGAACCAGCCAAGUAGCGUGAAGGAUGAAGGCUCUAUGGGUCGUAAACUUCUUUUAUAUAAGAAUAAAGUGCAGUAUGUAUACUGUUUUGUAUGUAUUAUAUGAAUAAGGAUCGGCUAACUCCGUGCCAUCAGCCGCGGUAAUACGGAGGAUCCGAGCGUUAUCCGGAUUUAUUGGGUUUAAAGGGAGCGUAGGUGGACUGGUAAGUCAGUUGUGAAAGUUUGCGGCUCAACCGUAAAAUUGCAGUUGAUACUGUCAGUCUUGAGUACAGUAGAGGUGGGCGGAAUUCGUGGUGUAGCGGUGAAAUGCUUAGAUAUCACGAAGAACUCCGAUUGCGAAGGCAGCUCACUGGACUGCAACUGACACUGAUGCUCGAAAGUGUGGGUAUCAAACAG